RNAcentral lists this ribosomal RNA (591 nucleotides) under Belvosia sp. Woodley04A/Woodley04B. RNAcentral's name for it is "partial ribosomal RNA". The stretch from base 1 to 117 matches the Rfam family "Eukaryotic small subunit ribosomal RNA", at positions 1721 to 1831 of the family's 1831-position model. Lineage: Eukaryota; Metazoa; Arthropoda; Insecta; Diptera; Tachinidae. The record is from RNAcentral.
UCACUGUAACGCCCUGAGUGUUGCGGAUGUUUCGCAGAAGUUGACCGAACUUGAUUAUUUAGAGGAAGUAAAAGUCGUAACAAGGUUUCCGUAGGUGAACCUGCGGAAGGAUCAUUAAAGUUCUCCUUUCAAGUUAUAAACAAAAACACAAUAUAUAAAAUACUUAUAUUGUAAAAUUAUGGCAAAUGCCAAAAAGAAACAAAAUAACAAUAAUAAAAAUGUUUAUUAUUGUAUCGCCUCCUAGGCAAAAAAGUAUAGUAUAAAGUGUUUGUGUGUGUUACACAUUACACAAAAAUUGACUUAUUUAUAUAAAAUUUGUAAAAACUGAAAUUGUGUGGACGUUAUACAAAAUUAAUUUGUAUAGAAAAUGUCUAAAAAUUUGAAAUACAUAAAAUUAUAGUUGUACUUGUAUAAAAUUGAAAAGUAAUUUUUUAUAUAAGUCAAUCAUUGUUCGUUUUUUAAGAACUUGAGACAUUCGCAACAAAAAUUUUAUGUUUUAGUUAUAAAAGAGAAGAAUAAUAAGCAAAAAUUAUUGAAGGAAUUGAUAUAUGCCAAUUUGAAACUUUUUGGUGUAUUUNUGAUUUCUNUCCU